RNAcentral lists this transfer RNA (466 nucleotides) under Vibrio aestuarianus. RNAcentral's name for it is "partial 16S-23S ribosomal RNA intergenic spacer". The stretch from base 94 to 166 matches the Rfam family "tRNA". Lineage: Bacteria; Pseudomonadati; Pseudomonadota; Gammaproteobacteria; Vibrionales; Vibrionaceae. The record is from RNAcentral.
CCUUAUACGAUGAUUACACUGAUGAGUGUCCACACAGAUUGAUGGUUUAUACGGUUUUAGAGAAAGAAUGUUCCCAAACAUUCGCAACUUAGUGUCCCGUUCGUCUAGAGGCCUAGGACACCGCCCUUUCACGGCGGUAACAGGGGUUCGACUCCCCUACGGGAUACCAUCUUUAAGCACAUUGCUUAAGUGUUCUUAAAAAUGGUUUUCAUCAGAAAAUCUUGCUCUUUAACAAUUUGGAAAGCUGACUGAUAACAACAUUAUUUGUUGUUAUCAAAUAAAAGUUCUCAAUAUCAAUACGUUUACGUGUUGAUACCAAACACAUUCAAGUGUUCUUGGGAAAGCUUACUGCGGUAAGUUUUCAAAAUUGAGUCCGGCAAAAUCGAAAUGUCUCUCGCUCAUUCAAUAAAGAGAGACACUAAACCUUGGUGACUUGUCAUCAACACGAAACUUCUUCGGGUUGUAU